AAUAGAUACCCAGGUAGUCCACGCCGUAAACGAUGGAUACUAGCUGUUGGAGGUAUCGACCCCUUCAGUAGCGAAGCUAACGCGUUAAGUAUCCCGCCUGUGGAGUACGGUCGCAAGACUAAAACAUAAAGGAAUUGACGGGGACCCGCACAAGCGGUGGAUCGUGUUCUUUAAUUCGAUGCUAAACGAAGAACCUUACCAGGGCUUGACAUCCCUUGAAUUAAUCCGAAAGGAUUGAGUGCUUUAUUGAACAAGGUGACAGGUGUUGCAUGGCCGUCGUCAGCUCGUGUCGUGAGAUGUUUGGUUAAGUCCAUCAACGAGCGCAACCCUUGCAAGUAGUUGUAUUUUUCUACUUGGACUGCCCCGGCAACGGGGAGGAAGGAGGGGAUGAUGUCAGGUCAGUAUUACCCUUACGUCCUGGGCUAGAAACACGAUACAAUGGCAAGUACAAUGCGCAGCGAAGCCGCGAGGUGAAGCAAAUCGCAUCAAAGCUUGUCCCAGUUCGGAUUGGAGGCUGAAACUCGCCUCCAUGAAGUCGGAA
Molecule: ribosomal RNA, 541 nt
Filed under: uncultured bacterium
Lineage: Bacteria
Description: bacterial SSU rRNA
Rfam family: Bacterial small subunit ribosomal RNA
Source: RNAcentral